AUUAAAUUAUCAUAAUCAAUGUAUUAAACUUAGAAUUUAAAUAAGCUAAUUUGGCAUUUAAUA
RNAcentral lists this transfer RNA (63 nucleotides) under Vasdavidius concursus. RNAcentral's name for it is "tRNA-Leu". Lineage: Eukaryota; Metazoa; Arthropoda; Insecta; Hemiptera; Aleyrodidae. The record is from RNAcentral.